UUUUUUUUAAAAAAAAGAAAAAUUAUUUCAUAAUCUAUUAUGUGUAUGUGACCAACAUCGUGCAAUAACUGUCUUCUGGAUACUUAUAGCUCAUCAUGUCAUGCUUUGACCUAGAUCACCCAAAUUUUAUGGAUUCUUAGAUGGUCCAUUUUGUGUCAUUGAUUGUAAAAUUUAGCUGUUGGGCCUUAUUUGUUUGCAUUUGAAGGUUCUGUUUCAAAAAAUAAUUUGUUUAUGGAAAAUAUUUUGUAAGAAAAACAUUUUCUGAGAAGAUGAUUUCUUUUCUAUUAUUUGAUUACAAUAUUAAAAAUCAGUUGGCAAUUAGCUUCUAGGACUUUGAUAGCAGAGGAAGAUGUAAAUUUUCUUUCCACUCGACUAGAUAAAGUCCAUAAUGAGAAUAUUAGAGAAAAGGU
This 410-nucleotide unclassified non-coding RNA is filed under the name Hevea brasiliensis (rubber tree). Lineage: Eukaryota; Viridiplantae; Streptophyta; Magnoliopsida; Malpighiales; Euphorbiaceae. The record is from RNAcentral.